CAUGCCGGGACGGGACGGGCCGCCCACCGCCGCCUCCCAUUGGGAGAAGGAGCAGCCGGCACAGAGAGUAAAUCCUCCGGCGGCCAGAGAGGACGCGUCGGGAGGGUCGCGCUUUCCGCCUUGUCUCGCCUCCUCCCGCCGUGUUAGCUACGGUGGGAAGGCGAAGGUCGCGCUGAGGUGGCUCUUAUGGCUCCCGCCGCCUCCAUCCUGCGCUUCCCGCCGCGUUCAGUCGUGUCUCCGCCGGCCCCUCCGUUCGUCCCGCGGCCCUCAAUGUCCCCUCAGGGUCUCGGUCCGGCCCCUCGCCGCCCUCCCCGGGCCGCUCCCGCCUCAGCCCCUGCGCGGUGAGCUGCCCUGUCAGCGCCUGCCCGCUGCUCCUCACUCCCUUCAAAGCCCUGCAGGAACCUGCCCCUCACAUAAAAAACUAGUUUUCUCUUAGAAGGGGUGUUUUUUAAAUACCUGAAAGCAGCAGCGGAGCAGACUACCUGAGACCACCCACCUCUGACUGUGCGGCCGGGGGAAGCCGACUGUUGAAGUCUUCCCGGCUGAUGUCCGGCAGCAGAAGGGAGCGGGAGAGGGCAUCUGGAGUCUGAAUUUCCAGAUAAUAAACCAAUUCUUCCCAAGAAACAAUGCCACACCCGUAGUACAGCUCCAGGCUGGAAUCCAAGAGCCGGGCAGGCUGUCUGGGGCAGCGGAGCUUUACGUCAGGACCUGACAGAAAGUGGUUUACCAGAACAUCUGGAUCGGUGCUGGGCUGCUGCGCAUUUUGGCUGGGUCUGAAUCCACCUGGCGUUACUGAAUCAAGUAUUUGAAAAAUGCAAAGGAGGGUUUUCUCAAAGCUUUUCUACUAUUUCCAAGCACUGGCUGGCCUAAUGGAAGAUACUGUCUGCACCGACAGAGACUUCCUUAAAAAAACAGCCAACCUAAAAUGAAUAAAAUCCCAAUGUUUCUCUUCCAUCACAAAAGCAAAACCGGAACAGCCAAGUGAAAGAAGUGCUUGUGUCAGUGAACCCUGAGCAGGAGCGUGGUACGCUGCUGGUCCCUUUUGAGUGGUGUACCCAGCUAAACUCCUCCUGCCCGCCAGGGCGCUGCCUGUACGCCGCGUUUAGGUGAUGGUUUUCCCUCAUCAUGCCGUCUGGUGGAUUUCAGUGAACCCGCCUCGUCACAGCAUGUUUGAGCACAUCAGGGUAGGGAACUCCAGGUGAGAUCCCAUCUGUCCUGGUGUUUCAGAUGACUUACUUGUGAGAAGCAGAAGUACGGGAAUCCCUUCCUAGCAUAAAAUAAAGCAAACCUCAAUAUUGCUCAGUUAUGUUUCUCUGUCUCAUAACUUCCCAAGCAAGACGGGUUCCCUCAUUCCCUCUUCGGUAUUCUCCUUGCGGUAUAAGUUGCUGAAUGUAUUAUGAGAUGAUAUCCACACGGUGAAAAGGGUCUCCUCUUCUAGCAGAGUCACAAAAAGUAUUUGUUUUCACUACUUCACAGGCAAUGAAAGACCUGGCAAAAUAAAAGUAUUUAGAAUAUAUAUAAAUUUCAUAUCAGUAUAGAUUUAAGUCUGCUUUAGUAAAAUUGGUGCAGAUAAUCAAUAUUUAUGUCAGUAACUAAGAGCAGACCCUGGCUCUAAGCAUUAGAAUUCCGGGCUGGCAUAACAUCAGGCUCAUUUGGCAUCCGCCAUAUAAACUGACAAUUAGAGGGCAGUAGAGAAAGCUGAAAGAAAAAAGACAGAAAUGCCAGUUGGACCCGUUACUGGUGAUUCACAUAAAGGAAGCUUCUUGAGCCUCGAGUCAGAUUAGUCUUCAUUAGUUCAUCUGUUGUAAAAAUACAUUGAAAGGGAUAACAGCUAUCCCUUUGGUGGUGCAGCCCCCCGGGCCACUCUGGGACCCCAAGACAAGCCCUAUCAUGCCGUUAUCUGGGUCAUAAUGACUUGGGUGCCAGGCAAUCUCUGUCCACCCCUGGGCCAUCUGCUCCCUGACUUCUGUCCCAGAAUUGUGGCCAGAAUGCCAAAUAUCAACCAAAGCCAACUAUCUCGAUCCUAUAACUAGCGAUGCAAGAGGGAGAACCUUUGAGCUCUCCGGGACUGCAGCGGGCUGUGUGACCCUGCAUCUCCCCCGGGGCUGGGACGCCUCUCGGGGGAGAUUUUGUGAGGACUGAAGGGUCGUCUGCUGACGAUUUUGUGAGGACUCAAAGGCCUGAUUUUGCAAGGUUCACCGGCCGUGCGCUGAUGAAUGCCAGCACACAAAAAUCCCGAAUGCCUCCCGACGGAGCGUAAAGCAUGUCGACGUAGCGGGGACGUCACUUCUGUGUGCGGUUUGUGGAAGCUUACAUCAUUAAAUAUGUCACUGGAAUGUAUUCGAUUGAUUUAGAUCAAUUUCAGAUGUUUUUCUUUCCUGGGCUGGCAGCCAGCAGACCGUAGCGUACAAAGCAGCCUCAGUGGCAGGCGGAGGGGCUCGGGGCCGAUGGCCGGCUGCGGGACAGGGCAGCCACGAUACCUGACUCGCAGUCCGAACCCGAACGGGGCAAGAGGGGAAGGCUGUCACCCGCACCAACCGUGUGCGCACGUCACACAAGCUGCCAGAACUUGUAGGAGGUUUGUGGAUAGUCUGGAUGGAUAAAAUAGGGCUGAGCUUCCAUCCAGCGCCCAGGCACAGCCCUUCGCCCUUCCGAGGUGGGCUCGCGGGCCCGAACUCUUGGAUCUGCGAACAGCACAAGCACAGGCGCCAUGAGGAAGGGCAGGGAGUGACUGAGCCUCAAUCCUCAGUCUUUUAGGACUUGUAUCAUUUGGGAUUACAGAGUUCAAAGUUACCCACCGGGUACCGCUGCUGCUUCCAGUCAUGGUGGGAGCCAUUUCACAGAAUCCCAUCUAUACACUUAUGCCGAUUCAUCAUUAAAGCUGGCUGUUUUCAUCGUCCCAGCUCUCUUUAGCAGCCUUUCCAAAGCCUGACUGCUCCAAUUGCUCCAGGAUCCCUCUAAUUUCUGAAUUAAUUUAUUAGUGACCAGUUUGACCAUUUGUUCUUGUCAGCUGUUCUUUAGUUUAAGUACUUAUUCCCAUCCCCACUGUGCUUCAGUGACUGUAUCCCUUCUUGUAUUCUCUCGACUCAUACGAGGGCACUUUCCAUCUGUAACACCGACCGCCCCUUCCCCUGACCAUCACAGAGUCCCUUCGGGGGGUCUCCUCAAUGCUUUGAACGUGCAUGACAAGAAUUAGGCGUAGUAUUAUUCCACAUACAAAUGGCACUAACACUUUCCUGUCUCAGCUGGAGACACCUCAUGCAUCUUAAGGCACUUUUAUCUUCAUCUUUGCGCCAUACUUUCCACCCGCAGCCAUCCUCUGAUCAGCCAGCUUACAUGCAAGCCCUCUACCAUUACCUCCUGGUGAUGAGCUUCCAGUUUCUAACAGAAUUUUUUGCUCGCAGUUCAUGUGUGCAUGACCUCCGUCUUUGUAUCAUUGAAUUUCAGGCCAGUCUCACUACUCCAGUCCAUGGGAUCAUGCGGUUUUGCAUUGAUAAUGCCUCCUAAUUUCAUGUCAUAUCAAAAAACUUAAUCACAAUUUAAAAAUUUCUCUUCUAAAGCCUUGCGUUCAGUGAAGGGAUGUACACUUGCAUGUAGGAUUGAUCACAUUUCUUCCUUUAACACAGCCACUGUUUCAUAUUUUCAAAUCAUAUGACACCAUUCUUACCUUAUCAAUAUGUUAAAAAUUCUGUCUGCUGGACUUGCAGGUCAGUUCAGUGCCUCCAGAUUCGGUGGGGAGGCUGACACCGUAGCUACAACCUGUCUGAACAAAGCCUCCCGCCUUUUGCUGCCACGUGUCACAGACCAACACACUGAGAAGCCUCUUACAUGUUUAAAAACCGUCCAUGCGGGCAGGGUGCCCCGAGGCUCUAACUUCCAAUGUUAGGAAGCAUAUGCAAAACCAUGAACUAGCCUUAAUUAUACAGUUACAAUGUAUGCAUAAUGCGCAAUAUCCAGGAGCAAAUAAUUCACUCACGCGUUUGUUGCUAUAGCGCCCAUCACUUUCCAAUGUGGUUUUUCUUGUAUCUGUCUUCCCUCCUUUUUUCUCUUUGCUUUUGUUAUGUUUCUUUGGGAAAUUUUCAGUUGGUUGUUUAGGGUUUUAUUUGGUCGGCAAUUACCCAGCUCUGAUAUUUCAGUAGCUGUGAUGCCUUAAUUUGUAAACAGAAGAAAUCUAAUUACCUUUCAAGCUUGAUGGAAAACUAUGGAGACCAGAAUAAGAGGGAAAAUUAUCUUUUCAACAUUUAUUUCACUGCAAAUGACUGAGAUAACUGCACGGGUGAAAACGGCUCCCGAGUAACCUUCUGUAGCACAGAGAGGUAGGAUUUUCUGAGAACUGUAUUAUAUGGGGUAUGAUUCAUACCAGAGUUUGGGGCAACACGAUACCCCAGCGACCCUCAGCUGAGGAGAUUGCAAAGCCCAUUUGUAUUUGAAUAUCCCAGAAUAGCACUAUGAACCACACAUUAGGUGACAUGCAAUGACUAUUUACAGCAGCCCAAAGAAUAGCCUGUGACAGAUACCGGCUAGGCCUUAUUUUAAGCCCAUAUUCAUUUUCACGUUUGGCCGGCAUUAAUGAAUUGCAAGACAUGCCACUGUAAACAGAGUCUGAAGAUACUGGGCGUACACUGCGAUGCACCGCAGCGGCAGAUUUGCAGUAUGUAAGCACUUCCACAGAAAUCAUACAUCUAUGUCGCAUACAGAUAAUAGAAAAAGGAGGGUGCUUAAUCUGCCAGGCAAGGAUUUCUCUCUGAAGCUCCCCAGAGGAGUAAGUUUUGGGAAAGUCUGGAGGCUGCAGACUGAGAUCAGGACUGACUAAGGCUCAGAUCAAGUAAACCACUGAAUGAAAGCACGAUGAGGAUACUCUGAAGAAUUGACCAAAGCACCCAUAGCAUAAAAAUUAACAGCGAUGCAUCAGUCUUUUUCCCUCUUGUUUUUUAAUACCCAUGGUUUUUGAGGAUUAGAUACUUCUAAUGCCUGCCAUGCUACAGAGGACCCAUUUGCAGCUCAGAGCAGUGAAAUGGUAUCAAGUGUAUCAACAGCAAAUCAUUCCUUCUUUAAAAAGUAGCCACAAAUUUUAGGCCAUGUUAUCAUCACAUUUUGAAUACAUUCUCUGACUCGUGUUUCCUUAUAUAUAGCAGCAGCUGAUCAGAUGUAUAACUGAAUUGUGAAAGUCUUGAGCAUAUGAUGCGAUUAUGAAAUUUUAAUGCUUUUGCUUAUUGUUUACAUCAUCUUCGAAAGUUGAAGAAUUUCUGAGGCAUUUUGUUCUUCAAAUAGUUGCCAUCUAUUUUAAGAGACAAGCUGCAUCUUCAACAGCCCUUUUUUGAUGAUUCUUCUGGGUUUUUCUCCUUAAUUUAAAAUAAAAUUACUGAUUAUUGUGAUACCAAAAGAGAACAAAAGGUAUUCAGCUAUUUAUCACUUUACUGACAGGCAAAUAAGUAGCAACAUACACAAUACAUCCCAAAUGACAAACACAGUAUGUACAAAUAAGGGACGUUUAUGUCUGAUAGGGAGUCACAGGUUAUAUGCAUUUAAGUGCAUAAGAAAAAGACAAGUUACUUGCUCAGAAGAAGACAAAGUCUGCCUUGGUCUAAGAAAUGAAAUUACUUCCUUAAAUGACUGUGGCAAGGUGCUAUGCUACCUCAGAGUUGAAUUUUGCCUCGAUAUUUCUUAAUGUACUGAGACGUUUCUUCUAGUCACGCAUCUCUGUUAAAAGCAAAGGUAUCCGUGCUGUAAACCUGGUUCCAAAAUGUGCUAGAAAGCUUGCAAAAGCAACGAUAAAUAUGCACAUCUCUCCCCAUGAUUUCCUGCAUGUCAGACUGAUUUAUUCUUGAUUUUCAUGGUCCAGGUCUUCUGGAAUAAUUAGAUCCCAUGACAGAGUUCUAAAAAUAUAAUAGACACCUCUAUUAAUUAGAAGCUGAAAACCACUGAACUGAAAAUUCGCAAGUUCUUGGCAAUUCCAGACCAGCAGUAACUCAGGGUCAAAAGCUAACAGAGAGUUUAUCACAGAAUGGCUUAAACAAUGUAAUGACUUCAGCACCGAGCCGAGCAGAGGACGUAUCUAUGGGACACCACGAAACAAACCCCAGCUUUGAAGUUAAUCGGAACAAAUCUGCACGCUCCGGGCGCGCUUCCUCAGCAUCCGCAGAGAAUCGCAGCAAGGUUUUCUGCCUCUGCGUCGGAUCUAAGAGUCUGCAUUUGCUUGCCAGGCGAGGCAGGGUGGAGCAGCAGAGCCAGUGGGGCAUCUGAUGGGGCGACAGCAGGACAGGCAUGUCCGUCCGCAUCCUCCCGCGGAUCGGGUCAAACUCUCCCCCCGCCGAGCGCUACAGUACCGUGGGUGGAGGGCAUCAAACCCAUACCACCGGGGAUAUAAAAGGUAACUCAACUUGUGUCUGUUCUUUCUUUAGUGCCUUACCAUUGUACUGGGGAACGGACAGAAAUGCAGCCGAAGAAUCUGCUUUCAGAUCAGGCUGCCCAUUAUUCCAGACAUUCUUUUUCCUCCCACUCUUUGUUUCUCCUUUUUUUUCCUCUCACUUUUCACAUUUCCUUCCGUCUCUAUGCAUUUUACUCACCACAUUGUCUUCAUUUCCCAGUUUAUUCUGCAUGCUAACAUAAGCCAUAAAGAAAUUAAGACCUACCUUUUGAGCACCAUUUGUCUUUAGAUUGCUCCUCUGAGGGCAACUGUCACUCUCCAACAGCAAUUGUUUCAGGCUGUUACAAAUUUAGCAGACAACAAACAUGGGUUUAUUCUGAACUCCCAUCUGGAAAGAUCUUUGCCACGCUGAAGGCUAGAAAUGUUGACCAAGGUCUGAUCUCAGUGGGCGUAUCCAUAUUGGAAAUUGGGUUCAGAUGAGACAAAGAUGCUUCUGUUAUUCCAAUUCCUUCCCAAACGCAAAGCUUGUCUACUCCGCAUAGCUGGUGGGACACACAACCUCGAUCCCCCAUGGGGACGGGGAACAAUACGGGCACAGAAGAACGAACAUUGCAUGCAGUGCUCCCCGCUUCCCAAAACCAUCCCUGCGCACGGCUUCUUUCAAGCUCAGGGCAGGAAGCUGCUCUACCGUACUGACACCCCAAGAAGGGGACACUCACCAAAUUAAGUACAAACGCCUUGGUACUGGGUGGCAUGCGCAGUUUUCUGGAGGAUUCUCCAUGCCCGUAGCAAUCAUUGAGGUUUUAUAACAUGUUGAAAGUGAAAAAUCUGUGGCAAAACGAACAGUCAGUCUGGAUUCAAAGAGGAUUCAUCAGAAGUUACAGGAGGGGGCAAAAUAUCAAAAAAGCAUAUAUAAAAUAAAAUUAAAAACCAUAUAUAAAAUCAGAUAGUUAUCAUGCCUUCAAAAGUCAAGUGCCGUCAAACUCAUAGGUAAAAUCCAGUACGUUGAGUUACCCCAACUGGUACUUUGCUGCUUCAUUUUACAGUGACUCUACUGCAAAUCAGUCUUCACCAGGGAAGAAAUGGGAAAGCCUUAUUAAGGAAUAUAUAUUACAGGAGCUCAGGAUAAGCUACGUGUCUUUCAGCUGUCAUAAAAUCCUAAUUAUUUCUCUAGAAAUAUUUAUUACAGGCUUUCUAUGUUUUGUAUGCUAGAAGUCUCACUUUUUACAAGAGGAGCAUUCAGAAAAUACAGGAGAGUGGGAGAAUCAUGGAAUCUGUUCCACUUCAGACGACUGCAUAAGGACACCCCAGGUUUUGCAUUGAUUUCUUUAUUUUUCAGCAUGCGCUGAUCAGACCGGUCUGUUUGGGUUGGCGGGGUCCCUCUCUCCCACCUCCCUCCCGUCCCCACGGGCAGCAUCCCCGGCGAGGUUCCAGGACCGUGUCCUAGCCCAGGGUCAGCAGUCACACGUGGCAGGCAGCCGGUGGGAGCCCGUCAGGGCUGGCAGGAUCCCUCCUUUUGAAAAUGAAAGUGGGGACAAAUAGAAAAAGAGGAAACUGGGUGACGUUCUUUCCCUCUGUUCAUUGUGCUGCGGGCACAUCUUGUAUGAUAUUCUCCACGCGGAGCAGCAGGCUGCUUUCGUUCCUUAGCACCUCGCUGUACGCUCAAGGACGUCCGAGGUGAAACACUUCAUUAUUAUUCUGUCGUUAGCACCGUGAUGCAAUUCCCAGCCCACCGACAGCUGCCAGAGCGGCGUCACUCAGCACGCUGCCAGGAAUCGCAAACACGCGGGGCUGGGGCUACUCCACAGCCUUUGGGGCGAGAGCCCUUCCUGCUUUAAAUAUUGAAUUUCUCUGCCAUGUGUUUUCUGUGUCGUUAAAACAAGGAGCAGUGAUGUAAAUAUAGGGCUGGGAAUUUGGAAACGUACUGUUUAUAACACAUUACAUCGCUGUGUUUUAGGCACGUUUCAUCUCUGAAUUAAAAGC
Molecule: non-coding RNA, 8350 nt
Organism: Phalacrocorax carbo (great cormorant)
Lineage: Eukaryota; Metazoa; Chordata; Aves; Suliformes; Phalacrocoracidae
Source: RefSeq, a predicted model, not a curated record